UCACUAAUCAAGCUCGGCUUGUUGUUGGGCCUUUUGUCGUUAAAAGACUGGUCCCAAAGAUAAUGACGGUGUUAUUAGAACCCUAGAUGCAACGAGCUUUAACCAGCACGCAUGUUAGUGAUCUUUUAACCCGGCCUGGUUUCACCAAUUUAAA
Molecule: unclassified non-coding RNA, 154 nt
Filed under: uncultured Ascomycota
Lineage: Eukaryota; Fungi; Ascomycota
Description: sequence contains ITS2
Source: RNAcentral